GCCCUUGUAGCUCAGUGGUAGAGCGCGUCACUAGUAAUGACGAGGUCGCCAGUUCAAUUCUGGUCGGGGGCA
Non-coding RNA from Collariella sp. IMI 366227, 72 nucleotides. NCBI's taxonomy places the organism in Eukaryota, Fungi, Ascomycota, Sordariomycetes, Sordariales, Chaetomiaceae. The record is from the annotation of a GenBank genome assembly.